ACAAGUUGUCUGAAAGGUGAAAGUCUGUAUAAGUGUAACUAUUACAACUUAUUUUGUUUAUUUUUUUGUUAAUCUAAAACUCGUUGUGACAGGUGUCUAUGAUUUUCAAAGUUAUAGGGUUGCAAAUCGACAUAGCAUUGGAUGAAAUGGUCCACCAUGCUGCUUGCCUUGCAGUCAUGAGACUGGCUGAAAUAUAAAGUAUGUGAGUUCAGCCUUUUUAUUGAGACUGACUACAAUUUUAAAAUAGUACUCCAGAGUCCAAAUCUGGUGAACGAUUUCAGCCAGUAUUUUCAACUCACACAAAAUACCUUUACUAGAAUCAUCAGACAUUCAAAAUCAAUUCGGAUUUUAUAGGGAGUUAGGAGAGUUGCCGUGUCCUUUACACUUGCGUGCAGAGCUUCGCGCCCCUUGGAAUAAUGAAAUCCUAUACUUAUUCGGUCCACUGCAUAUUUAGACUAGUUGAAAUUUCGAUUAAGCCUCAGUCUCCGUGAAAUUCGUCGAGUCAUAAAUAAUUGAAAUGCAAAUCAAAUAUAUUUCAAUUGAGGAGCCGAAGAAACCUAGAUCCAAUUUAAAAGAGCCUAUACAAACAGUUCGGCGCUCUUCACAAGAAGUAUAAGCACAAAGCCACAAAGUUGUUGGAAUAGGUCAUCUAAUUACGCAGGGCCGAAUGGCCGAAACUAAUUCCAUUCGACCAAAUGAUUGAACAGCAUCUCCUAUCUGAU
Daphnia pulex (common water flea) is the source of this 722-nucleotide long non-coding RNA. RefSeq lists it as uncharacterized. Lineage: Eukaryota; Metazoa; Arthropoda; Branchiopoda; Diplostraca; Daphniidae. The transcript is spliced from 3 exons. The record is from RefSeq and is a predicted model, not a curated record.